GGUCGGCGCUCCACAUCAAACCGAUCUGCAUUGACUAACUAUGGUCAUCGUUCACGUCAAACUUAGCAAAUGAUGUCAGUUAGCCUCAGGUAUAGAAAAGAUGAGAAGAGUGAUAAGUGCGAAAGUGGCGUGCUGCCGUAAAGUAAGAGAAUUUAUGAAUUUAUAAAAAAAAUCGUAGUAACGAUCUAAUUAGUUACAUUCAAUAUUAUAUUUGAGAUUAAUGAACUAGUUGCUACCUAUAUAACCUAUAAUCAAUUGAACUGUGGACUGUCGGUUAGAUUUGGAUUUAAAAAUACAAUAUAAUCCAUUCUAACUACAGGAGCCUCGCAGAACCGAUAAUUGAUCUAAGGAGUGUGUCUACCCAGGAGAAUAAUGGGAAUGAACUAAAUGUAAG
RNAcentral lists this long non-coding RNA (394 nucleotides) under Aedes aegypti (yellow fever mosquito). RNAcentral's name for it is "lncRNA AAEL027464". Lineage: Eukaryota; Metazoa; Arthropoda; Insecta; Diptera; Culicidae. The record is from RNAcentral.